RNAcentral lists this ribosomal RNA (1090 nucleotides) under uncultured Fibrobacterota bacterium. RNAcentral describes it as "bacterial SSU rRNA". It matches the Rfam family "Bacterial small subunit ribosomal RNA", at positions 54 to 1155 of the family's 1533-position model. Lineage: Bacteria; Pseudomonadati; Fibrobacterota. The record is from RNAcentral.
CAUGCAAGUCGAGCGAGUCGUGUAGCAAUACACAGGCGAGCGGCGAACGGGUGAGUAACGCGUGAAUAACCUACCCUUCAAUUGGGAACAACCGUGCUAACGCGCGGCUAAUGCCGAAUAUACCGGUUAAGCGACGUCGCUUAUUGGGGAAAGAUUAAUUGUUGGAGGAUGGAUUCGCGUCCGAUUAGGUAGUUGGCGGAGUAACGGCCCACCAAGCCUACGAUCGGUAGCCGGCCUGAGAGGGCGAACGGCCACAUUGGGACUGAGAUACGGCCCAGACUCCUACGGGAGGCAGCAGCAGGGAAUAUUGCGCAAUGGGGGCAACCCUGACGCAGCGACGCCACGUGUGGGAUGACGCAUUUAGGUGUGUAAACCACUGUCGUGAGGGAAUAGAGGCGGAUUUAGGUUCGCAGGAAUGUACCUCGAAAGGAAGCACCGGCAAACUUCGUGCCAGCAGCCGCGGUAAUACGAGGGGUGCGAGCGUUGUUCGGAAUCACUGGGCGUAAAGGGAGCGUAGGCGGACUUUCAAGCCGGGCGUGCAAAACCGAAGCCCAACUUCGGCAUUGCGCUCGGGACUGAUAGUCUUGGAUAGUUCAGAGGCAAGCGGAAUUCCUAGUGGAGCGGUGGAAUGCGUAGAUAUUAGGAAGAACACCGGAGGCGAAGGCGGCUUGCUGGGGACGAAUCGACGCUGCAGCUCGAAAGCGCGGGUAGCAAACAGGAUUAGAUACCCUGGUAGUCCGCGCCGUAAACGAUGUAUGCUUGGCGCACGAGGUUCAAAUCUUGUGUGCCGUAGCCAACGCGAUAAGCAUACCGCCUGGGGAGUACGCCCGCAAGGGUGAAACUCAAAGGAAUUGACGGGGGCCCGCACAAGCGGUGGAGCAUGUGGUUUAAUUCGACGCAACGCGCAGAACCUUACCAAGGUUUGACAUGGGAAAGUAAGGGGCGGAGACGCUCCCCCGUAGCAAUACGCUUUCUACACAGGUGCUGCAUGGCUGUCGUCAGCUCGUGUCGUGAGAUGUUGGGUUAAGUCCCGCAACGAGCGCAACCCGUGCCCUCGGUUGCCAAUAUGGCUCUCCGGGGGGACUGCCGG